AUUGAACGCUGGCGGCAGGCCUAACACAUGCAAGUCGAACGGUAACAGGAAGAAGCUUGCUUCUUUGCUGACGAGUGGCGGACGGGUGAGUAAUGUCUGGGAAACUGCCUGAUGGAGGGGGAUAACUACUGGAAACGGUAGCUAAUACCGCAUAACGUCGCAAGACCAAAGAGGUGGACCUUCGGGCCUCUUGCCAUCGGAUGUGCCCAGAUGGGAUUAGCUAGUAGGUGGGGUAACGGCUCACCUAGGCGACGAUCCCUAGCUGGUCUGAGAGGAUGACCAGACACACUGGAACUGAGACACGGUCCAGACUCCUACGGGAGGCAGCAGUGGGGAAUAUUGCACAAAGGGCGCAAGACUGAUGCAGCCAUGCCGCGUGUAUGAAGAAGGCCUUCGGGUUGUAAAGUACUUUCAGCGGGGAGGAAGGGAGUAAAGUUAAUACCUUUGCUCAUUGACGUUACCCGCAGAAGAAGCACCGGCUAACUCCGUG
RNAcentral lists this ribosomal RNA (490 nucleotides) under uncultured bacterium. RNAcentral's name for it is "partial 16S ribosomal RNA". It matches the Rfam family "Bacterial small subunit ribosomal RNA", at positions 30 to 507 of the family's 1533-position model. The record is from RNAcentral.